GAGCGAGAAAAGGGGGGCAACUCCCUGAGUAAAGCGGCGCACGGGUGAGUAACACGUGGGUAAUCUGCCCUGAAGUGGGGAAUAACACCGGGAAACCGGUGCUAAUACCGCAUACGAUCACGGAGUCUGCGGAUUUUGUGAUGAAAGGAGCAAUUCGCUUUAGGAGGAGCCUGCGGCUGAUUAGCUAGUUGGUGAGGUAAUGGCUCACCAAGGCUACGAUCAGUAUCCGGUCUGAGAGGACGGUCGGACACACUGGAACUGAGACACGGUCCAGACUCCUACGGGAGGCAGCAGUGGGGAAUUUUUCGCAAUGGGGGCAACCCUGACGAAGCAACGCCGCGUGGGUGAUGAAGUCUCUUGGGACGUAAAACCCUUUCGACGGGGAAGAAACCGCAAGGUUGACGGUACCCGUAGAAGAAGCCCCGGCUAACUCCGUG
RNAcentral lists this ribosomal RNA (437 nucleotides) under uncultured bacterium. RNAcentral's name for it is "bacterial SSU rRNA". It matches the Rfam family "Bacterial small subunit ribosomal RNA", at positions 64 to 507 of the family's 1533-position model. The record is from RNAcentral.